Molecule: long non-coding RNA, 150 nt
Organism: Mauremys reevesii (Reeves's turtle)
Lineage: Eukaryota; Metazoa; Chordata; Testudines; Geoemydidae
Exons: 3
Source: RefSeq, a predicted model, not a curated record
GAAGCUGCUUCCCUAUGAUCCAGAUAUCUCUGCAUUUACAGAUUAAAACCUGGAAUGGUUGCAGCUGGCAUGGACUCUUGAACUUGAAUUGGGACCCUCCAGUGUGAACUCCUAUGACCUCUCCUUGAACAAAUGGGACUCUGUAAGGCU